UACGUAGGGACCAAGCGUUGUUCGGAUUUACUGGGCGUAAAGGGCGCGUAGGCGGCAAUUCAAGUCAUCUGUGAAAUCUCCGAGCUUAACUCGGAACGGUCAGAUGAUACUGCUUUGCUAGAGUGCGGAAGGGGCAAUCGGAAUUCUUGGUGUAGCGGUGAAAUGCGUAGAUAUCAAGAGGAACACCUGAGGUGAAGACGGGUUGCUGGGCCGGCACUGACGCUGAUAGCGCGAAA
This 236-nucleotide ribosomal RNA is filed under the name uncultured bacterium. RNAcentral describes it as "partial 16S ribosomal RNA". It matches the Rfam family "Bacterial small subunit ribosomal RNA", at positions 524 to 758 of the family's 1533-position model. The record is from RNAcentral.